UGACAGGUCAGUUUGGGAAGUGCCGUGACUGUCAGAAUUCAUUAAAAAAAAAGGAAGCUUAGAAGAACUGUAUACAGUGGUGUGAAAAAAUGCUAUCCAGGAAGUGAGGAAGGGAGCAGAGCGCACCAUGAGUGACAAGCUUCACCCCAACAUGUUUGAUCACCACCACAUGAAGCUGUUCAGAGCCCAGAGGAACCUCUACAUCUCAGGCUUCUCCCUCUUCCUCUGGCUUACUCUUAGACAUGUCAUCUCCCUUAUUAAUCAGUUAGCGACUGUAGUAGGCACAUAUGUGCUU
Molecule: non-coding RNA, 295 nt
Organism: Lepisosteus oculatus (spotted gar)
Lineage: Eukaryota; Metazoa; Chordata; Actinopteri; Semionotiformes; Lepisosteidae
Source: RefSeq, a predicted model, not a curated record